This is an RNA transcript of Trichomycterus rosablanca, 5383 nucleotides long. RefSeq lists it as uncharacterized. NCBI's taxonomy places the organism in Eukaryota, Metazoa, Chordata, Actinopteri, Siluriformes, Trichomycteridae. The transcript has 9 exons. The record is from RefSeq and is a predicted model, not a curated record.
CCGCCAGGUAAGAACGUUUAAUAUUCACGCUGCUGAUGUGAGAAAUGCUUUUCUUUAUUACGGCUGCAAAAUGAAACAUUUAUUAUUGUUAAUUUAUUACGUGUUAAUAAUAAUUUAUUAACACUGUCGUGUAAAAUAUGCUUAAACUAAUAUAAUGAAUAAAUGUGUUACUAAACUGAAAGUGAAAGUUUAUAUCUUGCACCAAAAACACGAUUCUUAUCUACAUUUUCGGCAUUUAGCAGACACUUUUAUCCAAAGCGACUCACAAUUAUGACCUGAACAUGAUUUUGAGCAGUUGAGGUUAAUGGUCUUGCUCAGGGGCCCAACAGUGGCAACUUAGCAGUGGUGGGGCUUGAACCGGCAACCUUCUGAUUACUAGUCCAGUACCUUAACCACUGAGCUAUCACUGCCCCUGAAGAUAAAAUUCUGGACUAUUAAUGUGCAUCUCCUUAUAUUCAGUGAUUCAUUUAUUUAUGUAACUAUUCAUUUGUUAGUUAUGAUGCUGUAUAUCACAGUGUUAUUAGAAAGAAACCAUGUAAACAGGAAACACUGAUCUAAAAGCACUGAUCUAAUGUAAAAGAAUAUUGCUGAACUGUGAUAAUAACAUGAAUUACAGCCCUAAGUGGAGAAAAAGACAUAUUUUGUUUAUACUGACGCCAUUUCUACCCAACAGUUACAUUCAUGUAAUAAACAAUGAACAAAAUUAUUAUUUUUUGUGGCAGAGUGGCGCAAAGGGUAGUGCUGUUGCGUCACAGCAAGAAAGUCCUGGGUUCGAUUUCUUAGCAGGCUGGGUGAGCAGGGGUCAGUGUGGGUUUCCAUCAGGUUCUCCGGGUUUUCUCUCACACACGCAAAAACAACUGGAGCUGCAAAAUUUACUCGUGUGUGUGUGUGUGUGUUCUGUGAUGGACUGGCGACCUGUCCAGGGUGUUUCCUGCCAUUUGCCCAGUGAAUUAGUAUUUUGCAUAGAAAAUAGGACAAUCUGAUUUUUUUGCUGUUCUCACUCUUUAACGGUUCUAACAGGCACAUCAGUUAUACAUCAAUAACAUCAAAUAAAUAAAAUAUUCUCAUAUUUAUAGCAACAGUAUGGUGAAGGGCCUUUCCUUUAUUUCUGUGCACAAACAGCCAUUUUCAAACAGUGUUUUAGUUUGUAAACCUAAUCACUCUUUUUUGUCUUCAACAUGCCGUGCCAACAUCUGAGGGCGUGUCAGGCUGUAGAGGAACAAGAACGUUCUCUUAUCACAAAUAGUUGAUCCAUACUGCCUGUACAUCUGUAACAGCUGCACAAAUCCUCACAGGUGAAGAUGGCGUCCCCCGCCGAACGGUUCCUGAAGGUCCACAGGAGUGAAAUCGUGGGCCGAGUGAAGAGCGUAAACGGUCUGGCUGAUUGUCUGCUUGAGAAGGAAGUGAUUUCUAAGGAAGCAUUGAAUGAGAUCAGUAGCCAGAAACCAGAAGAGGAGCAGAUGAGGACAGUUUAUAAGCAUCUGAACAGCAGUAAGGCCUAUGAAUUAACAUUAGAAUGGCUGAAGAGACACGAGUCUCAUGUGAUGGAAGAUCUGGCAGAAAAGACAGAGACUCCGGAACCGAGCCACUCGAGAGAAAAAAGACAGAGAAUCCAGAACCAUGAAGCCAUGGAUGAAACAGAUUGUGAUCUCCAAACAUCACCAGAUCUCAAGACCUUAUCCACCAUGGCCAAACUGGACGACUGGGUCUCUGAUCCUAAAAUCAGUGAAAAACUGGUUAAUGACCUGAAGGAGAAGCUUGCUCAGGGUGAAAUGGAGGGUUUGGAGGAUUAUCUGAAGGACAUAAAGCUGAAAAAGAGUCUGUGUCUCACUGCUAAAGAGAUCAACGAGAUCAGACAGAGAAAAGAUCUUCGUUCAUUUCUUACAGACGUUAAAGGAGCCAAAUUUCCUAAAAAUACACUUGACCACUUUUUUGAGAAGGUCAGAAGUAAGGCCUCAACAGCCAAGAAAAAGCCUGAACAGUACAGUAAUUACGACGACUCCAUAAACCAUAAUGCAGAUGAUUUGAACAGCAGUGGAUACGGAUCUUCAUGCAGCUCAAGUUUUAAUAGCAGAGUGUUUCCUCACACUGUGUUCCCAAAUGAGGACGUGUUCAUAUGUGAAGGUGUCACUGAUGUCAGUCACACACACAACAUGGAGGUCACGGAUUACGAGUCCAAAAGCGCAGACCUAGACUUCAAAGCGGACGUUCCACACCCAACAGAAAACGCAGAUCAGAUUCAGCAAGCUGUCAGAAGCAGUGGAGGAACCAGGGAAUUAAAAGAAAAGCAGGAAAUGGACGACACUGACUGUCCUCCUCAAACAUCCUCUCAAAACCUUUUCAAUGUUCCUCUGUUUGCCAAAAAGAGCAAGUUGUCCAGCUACAGUCCAAGCUACAGGACAAAGUCGAUACCUCAUUUGAAGAAAGAGCGGUGGUCUGGUUGUGGAAGGUUUGGAGCCAGAAGAUAAGCAGCAGAGCAGUUACAAUCAUGGAGAUGAUUUUGAUGAGCCGGAUGGACCACAAGGAAUGAUCAUUUUUCCAAAGCUUGAAGACGUUCCCCCUAGUACUUGGAGCCGAGACCUUCAACUACAGUCCGCAGAUGGUGGACGGCUAGAAAAACGCACGGACACACUAAGGAACACGGGUGAAGAGCUUAAGAAAGCCAACUGCUCCAACAUGUCUUCAUUAAAGAACCCAAAACCAAAAAGAGAGAAGAGGAGGAACGUGGAAGGACAGCCGAACAGAAGAAUCGAGCAGUACGGCACUGUGCUUUGUAACUGGUUAAUGAAUCAAUGCAGCGGCAGUGAGGAGGAGUUCAAGAAAUUAUUCGACCGUAUCUCAGUAAAACACGUAGUAGAACACAGCGAGUACCCGUUCUUCAUAGCUGAAAACAUCACAGUGUUUAAGAACCCACAAACUGGUGAAGAACAGAUCAUCGUCGUGAAGGAUGAGAAGAAGAACUCCACAGAGACCACAAGUCUGAUCCAUUAUCAGAUGUUUGUGUGUGACAUUCAGAAAACUGUCCUCUUAGGUUCUAAAGAGCCUAAAGAGAAGCAGAUCGGCUUUGAGGAGUCCGAGGUUCCUGUAAAUCGCUGCCUGAGGAGCAUCCUGGAGGUGUUCGCUCCUGCUCUCGCUGUGUUCAAAAAUAUUCAAAGAAAAGAAAGACUGGACUCGUAUCUGAAAACGAUCCAAGGGCGGAAAGAAAAUCCUCGUUAGUGUAUUUGUGGAGGAUCAGAGAACAGUACAUGGAACAGGAGUUUUGCCUAGGUUACAAACCCAAACUGUCAUCUUACGCUGGGAAAAUACGUCCAUUUGUUCAGAUAUAAUCCAAGAUUUUGAUUAUUUCUCAAUAUUUUGAGUCUUUAACGUUCACGGCUUCACACUGCAGCCCCGAUCAUGAAUGUUUUUUAAUCCAUUGUUUUGUUUCCACACUCGUCGACUGGCUGAUUAAGGACGUCUGUGCUGAAAAUACUCAGAAAAAAAAUAUUUACUGUUUUUUUAUUUCUUUUAUUGAUUUUUAAAACAAUACCUGCACAAAGCUGUAAAAUUUCUCCUAUUUUUGCAUAUUUGUCACACAGAAGUUUCAAAUCAAACUACUUUUAAUAUCAGACAGACUGAAAAAAUCAUUCCAACCUUCUGAGACCGCAUUCCAACAGAAGAACAUCGUAACAGGGUUUUUAAUCACACACGACUCCUACAUACAGGAGCAGCAGAAAGAAGAAAAGAAAUCUCAUUUUUUAUGUUUUUUUAGGUUUGACAGGGCAGUGGUAGCUCAGUAGUAAAGGUACUAGAUCAAAAGGUCACUGGUUUAAGCCCCACCACUGCCAAGCUGCCACUGUGUACUUUGGUGUCCUGCACAGAAAACUGAAGCUGAACGUUUUAAAGUUUAUGUUCCACUAAUUCAGUCACUGUAUAAGAUCAGCUGUUAAUAUUAAUAAAAUCCCAAGAAUAAAACUGAGCAUUUUAUCUUUUUUAUCACUCAUGUCAUGAUAUGAUUCCAGUAGUUUUCAGCAGUGUUGGACUUUGCCUCAUUAUGACGUCCACACACUUUAUUAUUCCAACCGCAGUGAGGGUCACAAGAACCUCGGUAAACUAACACAGAGCUCCACAAUCCAACCACCACAAAGGAUCCAGACUGACGAAGCUAUGGGUGCAAUAAGAUCCAGACUAAUGUAGCUAUGGCUGCACUAACUGAAAUCAUUCAGUGUGACAAACAUACAGUAACUGAGACUUUCAAACAGACGGGGAGCCAAAAGGUUCUUACAGCACUAUCUCAGGUCUGUAUCCACCAUGGCCAAACUGGACGAAUGGGUCUCUGAUCCCAAAAACAGCCAGAAUCUGAUUGAUGACCUGGAGAAGAAGCUCGAUCAAGGUGAAAUGAAGGCUCUGGAGGAUUAUCUGAAAAAUAAGAAGCUGAAAAAGAGUGUGUUUUUAUGCUGAUGACAUGGAUAAGAUUAAAAACAACGAUGAACUUGGGUGGUUCCUUGAUGUAAUGAACGACACUACAUUCCCUUUAAGUUUACUGGAUUUGUUUUUUCAGAGGAACACAGACUACAACCCGUCGAAUCAUUUACAGGCAUGUGAGGUGGGAAAAGAACCCCUUAGCCAGUAGUUCUGCACCUUCAGCUACGAACAAGGACAAUGAAAAGCUUAGAAGAAAGUGCAGGAGCGAGUUCUUGUGAAUUGGGCAAUGAAACAAUGUGAUGGGAGUGAGAAAGAGUUAAACAAGGUUCUUGAGAACAUCUCAAUUAGAAACAUGGUGGAAAACAAAGAGUACCCAUUUUUUGUAACUGAAAAUGUCAUGGUGUACAACAAACCACUAACUGAUGAGGAAGAAUCAGGAAGUAGGUUCUACAGCCAAGCACGUAGAGAACGUAAAAUUCUGGUCAUCACUGAUGAAAGGAGAAACUCGGUCAAAAUGAUGAAUCUGAUUCAUUAUCAGAUGUUUGUGAGCAACAUUCACACAACAGUCAUGUUAAGUACUAAAGAACCUAAAGAGCAGCACAUCAAGUAUAACGAGACUCUGGUUCCUACCAAUCUGUGUCUGAGGUGCAUUUUAGAGGUUUUCCUCCCCGCUCUGGCCGUCUUAAAAAAAAUGCAGAGAAAAGAGUUUGUUUUCACAGUUUAAGUUGUUUUUACACCUGAAAACAUGUAAUAAUAAACCUCAGUGAUCUCAGUUUAUCUCAUCAUCAUUCCCUCCACUCAUUUAUGUUUUACAGAAUAAAAGUUUAUUUCCUGGAUGUGACCUGAAGUAAAUUUUACUUUUAGUGAAGAUGUUCUCUACAUUAUUGUUUAUCACAUAUGUAACAUGAUUCAUGUGCACAAAUGAUAAAUGUGAUAUUUUCUUUUGUCUUCUUUCAAUAAAGUAAAGACACACCGCUCA